This 264-nucleotide ribosomal RNA is filed under the name uncultured bacterium. RNAcentral's name for it is "partial 16S ribosomal RNA". It matches the Rfam family "Bacterial small subunit ribosomal RNA", at positions 793 to 1055 of the family's 1533-position model. The record is from RNAcentral.
GUCCACGCCCUAAACUAUGUCAACUGGUUGUCGGGGAUUAACUCCCUUGGUAACGAAGCUAACGCGUGAAGUUGACCGCCUGGGGAGUACGGCCGAAAGGUUAAAACUCAAAGGAAUUGACGGGGACCCGCACAAGCGGUGGAUUAUGUGGAUUAAUUCGAUGCAACGCGAAAAACCUUACCUACCCUUGACAUGUACGGAAUCUCCCAGAGAUGGGAGAGUGCCCGAAAGGGAACCGUAACACAGGUGCUGCAUGGCUGUCGU